GGACACAUAUUUAUAUUGAAAAGACAUUACAAAGUGCAUUUUGUCUAAUUAUUGUAAAUGUGUUUUGUUUUUUUCUGAGUGGAUAUAUGACUGGACUGUAAUCUUAUAUUCCACAGGGGGACCAAGGCAUAUGCCUGAAAGGAAAAGGCAACAAAAGAAUUGCUCCUACCACACUCGCCUAGAGGUUUUCCCCAUCAGGAGUGUAUUAAGAGAAAGAGUGAGAAAGGGCAAAGCAGAAAUGCUGGUUGACUGGGAGCCUUGUCCAGUAUGUGGUGAGCAGUGGGCCCAUUCCUGGCAGCCAAAGGAUUCACUCCAAAAUAAUGAAAAUAAAUAAAAUGUAUCUUUAGAACUCUAAACAUUUAGGUCUCAGCCUAUUUAUUAAACUGUUUCUAUGCUGCAUUUGAAGUCAUAUCUCAUCUUUCUGUAGUAGUGAAAAGGGGAACAUCUCCAAGAUUGUGAACUGGAGUUUAAUCUCAAAAGGGAAUGUACUAGAAAUUUACUCAAUCCAACUCAAUUUUCUUUUUCAGAUGUUAUUCAAAAGCAUGCUUUUUAUAUUUCAUGAUUAUAAAUUGCACUGUUAUUUUAUUACAGUUGACAUGUAAUUUGAUUUCAUUCAGUUCUGUUUUCUGUGCUUUUCAAGUUCACUUAACCUCACAGUCCACUGUUAAGAAAUACAACCUUAUGGCUUGUUUGACAUGAAGCUUAAAUAUGAAGUUUCAACAAAUAAGACUGACCUUCUUUAUACUCACACAUUAUAUCAUAUCUUUUACAUUGUCUCCACCGUGGUCAUCAGGAGAAGAGCUCUACAUUCAUCUAGAUCUCAACAUCUACCCACCCCUUCACCACCACCAGUGUCGGCUCCAUGUAGGGGAUAUCCCUUUUUCAUAUCAUGCAUUUCUUUUAAAAUAAUGAUGUCUUGAUGUGGUCCAAUUGCAAAAAACUUUAUAGUUUCAAUUUGUUAUGCACCUUGUCAAUAAAUUUGUUUGAUCACUCUUUAAGCCUCUAGUGA
Long non-coding RNA from Carassius auratus (goldfish), 1009 nucleotides. RefSeq lists it as uncharacterized. The transcript is spliced from 4 exons. NCBI's taxonomy places the organism in Eukaryota, Metazoa, Chordata, Actinopteri, Cypriniformes, Cyprinidae. The record is from RefSeq and is a predicted model, not a curated record.